GGCGAACGCUGGCGGCAGGCUUAACACAUGCAAGUCGAGCGGGCAUAGCAAUAUGUCAGCGGCAGACGGGUGAGUAACGCGUGAGAACGUACCUUUUGGUUCGGAACAACACAGGGAAACUUGUGCUAAUACCGGAUGAGCCCUAACGGGGCAAGAUUUAUCGCUGAAAGAUGGGCCCGCGUCUGAUUAGCUAGUUGGUUUGGUAAUGGCUUAACAAGGCGACGAUCAGUAGCUGGUCUGAGAGGAUGAUCAGCCACAUUGGGACUGAGACACGGCCCAAACUCCUACGGGAGGCAGCAGUGGGGAAUAUUGGACAAUGGGCGCAAGCCUGAUCCAGCCAUGCCGCGUGAGUGAUGAAGGCCCUAGGGUUGUAAAGCUCUUUUGUGUGGGAAGAUAAUGACGGUACCGCAAGAAUAAGACCCGGCUACCUUCGUGCCAGCCGCCGCCGUAA
This 451-nucleotide ribosomal RNA is filed under the name uncultured bacterium. RNAcentral describes it as "partial 16S ribosomal RNA". It matches the Rfam family "Bacterial small subunit ribosomal RNA", at positions 28 to 523 of the family's 1533-position model. The record is from RNAcentral.